RNAcentral lists this ribosomal RNA (253 nucleotides) under uncultured bacterium. RNAcentral's name for it is "partial 16S ribosomal RNA". It matches the Rfam family "Bacterial small subunit ribosomal RNA", at positions 524 to 776 of the family's 1533-position model. The record is from RNAcentral.
UACAGAGGGUGCAAGCGUUGUUCGGAAUUACUGGGCGUAAAGCGUGUGUAGGCGGCUUCGCAAGUUGGAUGUGAAAUCCCACGGCUCAACCGUGGACGUGCAUCCAAAACUGCGUCGCUAGAGUCUCGGAGAGGAAGGUGGAAUGCUUGGUGUAGAGGUGAAAUUCGUAGAUAUCAAGCAGAACACCUGCGGCGAAGGUGGCCUUCUGGACGAUGACUGACGCUGAGACACGAAAGCGUGGGGAGCAAACAGG